GUAAGCUACUAAGAGCAAAUGGUGGAUGCCUUGACUGGUAAAGGCGAUGAAGGACGUACUAGACUGCGAUAAGCUACGGGGAGCUGUCAAGAAGCUUUGAUCCGUAGAUUUCCGAAUGGGGCAACCCAAUGUAUAGAGAUAUACAUUACCUAUAUAGGAGCGAACGAGGGGAAUUGAAACAUCUUAGUACCCUCAGGAAAAGAAAUCAAUAGAGAUUGCGUCAGUAGCGGCGAGCGAAAGCGCAAGAGGGCAAACCCAGUGCUUGCACUGGGGGUUGUAGGACUGCAAUGUGCAAGAGGUGAGUUUAGCAGAACAUUCUGGAAAGUAUAGCCAUAGAGGGUGAUAGUCCCGUAUGCGAAAAACAAACCUUAGCUAGCAGUAUCCUGAGUAGGGCGGGACACGAGAAAUCCUGUCUGAAGCUGGGUCGACCACGAUCCAACCCUAAAUACUAAUACCAGAUCGAUAGUGCACAAGUACCGUGAGGGAAAGGUGAAAAGAACUGAGGUGAUCAGAGUGAAAUAGAACCUGAAACCAUUUGCUUACAAUCAUUCAGAGCACUAUGUAGCAAUACAGUGUGAUGGACUGCCUUUUGCAUAAUGAGCCUGCGAGUUGUGGUGUCUGGCAAGGUUAAGCAAACGCGAAGCCGUAGCGAAAGCGAGUCUGAAUAGGGCGCUUAGUCAGAUGCUGCAGACCCGAAACGAAGUGAUCUAUCCAUGAGCAAGUUGAAGCUAGUGUAAGAACUAGUGGAGGACUGAACCCAUAGGCGUUGAAAAGCCCCGGGAUGACUUGUGGAUAGGGGUGAAAGGCCAAUCAAACUUCGUGAUAGCUGGUUCUCUCCGAAAUAUAUUUAGGUAUAGCGUUGUGUCGUAAUAUAAGGGGGUAGAGCACUGAAUGGGCUAGGGCAUACACCAAUGUACCAAACCCUAUCAAACUCCGAAUACCUUAUAUGUAAUCACAGCAGUCAGGCGGCGAGUGAUAAAAUCCGUCGUCAAGAGGGAAACAACCCAGACUACCAGCUAAGGUCCCUAAAUCUUACUUAAGUGGAAAACGAUGUGAAGUUACUUAAACAACCAGGAGGUUGGCUUAGAAGCAGCCAUCCUUUAAAGAAAGCGUAAUAGCUCACUGGUCUAGUGAUUUUGCGCGGAAAAUAUAACGGGGCUAAAGUAAGUACCGAAGCUGUAGACUUGACUUUGUCAAGUGGUAGGAGAGCGUUCUAUUUGCGUCGAAGGUAUACCGGUAAGGAGUGCUGGAGCGAAUAGAAGUGAGCAUGCAGGCAUGAGUAGCGAUAAUUAAUGUGAGAAUCAUUAACGCCGUAAACCCAAGGUUUCCUACGCGAUGCUCGUCAUCGUAGGGUUAGUCGGGUCCUAAGUCGAGUCCGAAAGGGGUAGACGAUGGCAAAUUGGUUAAUAUUCCAAUACCAACAUUAGUGUGCGAUGGAAGGACGCUUAGGGCUAAGGGGGCUAGCGGAUGGAAGUGCUAGUCUAAGGUCGUAGGUGCUUAUACAGGCAAAUCCGUAUAAGAAUACACCGAGAACUGAAAGGCUUUUUGAAGUCUUCGGAUGGAUAGAAGAACCCCUGAUGCCGUCGAGCCAAGAAAAGUUUCUAAGUUUAGCUAAUGUUGCCCGUACCGUAAACCGACACAGGUGGGUGGGAUGAGUAUUCUAAGGCGCGUGGAAGAACUCUCUUUAAGGAACUCUGCAAAAUAGCACCGUAUCUUCGGUAUAAGGUGUGGUUCGCUUCGUAUUAGGAUUUACUCCGAAAGCGAAGAAACUUACAACAAAGAGUCCCUCCCGACUGUUUACCAAAAACACAGCACUCUGCUAACUCGUAAGAGGAUGUAUAGGGUGUGACGCCUGCCCGGUGCUCGAAGGUUAAUUGAUGGGGUUAGCAUUAGCGAAGCUCUUGAUCGAAGCCCGAGUAAACGGCGGCCGUAACUAUAACGGUCCUAAGGUAGCGAAAUUCCUUGUCGGUUAAAUACCGACCUGCAUGAAUGGCGUAACGAGAUGGGAGCUGUCUCAAAGAGGGAUCCAGUGAAAUUGUAGUGGAGGUGAAAAUUCCUCCUACCCGCGGCAAGACGGAAAGACCCCGUGGACCUUUACUACAGCUUGACACUGCUACUUGGAUAAGAAUGUGCAGGAUAGGUGGGAGGCUUUGAGUAUAUGACGCCAGUUGUAUAUGAGCCAUUGUUGAGAUACCACUCUUUCUUAUUUGGGUAGCUAACCAGCUUGAGUUAUCCUCAAGUGGGACAAUGUCUGGUGGGUAGUUUGACUGGGGCGGUCGCCUCCCAAAUAAUAACGGAGGCUUACAAAGGUUGGCUCAGAACGGUUGGAAAUCGUUCGUAGAGUAUAAAGGUAUAAGCCAGCUUAACUGCAAGACAUACAAGUCAAGCAGAGACGAAAGUCGGUCUUAGUGAUCCGGUGGUUCUGUGUGGAAGGGCCAUCGCUCAAAGGAUAAAAGGUACCCCGGGGAUAACAGGCUGAUCUCCCCCAAGAGCUCACAUCGACGGGGAGGUUUGGCACCUCGAUGUCGGCUCAUCGCAUCCUGGGGCUGGAGCAGGUCCCAAGGGUAUGGCUGUUCGCCAUUUAAAGCGGUACGCGAGCUGGGUUCAGAACGUCGUGAGACAGUUCGGUCCCUAUCUGCCGUGGGCGUAAGAAGAUUGAAGAGAUUUGACCCUAGUACGAGAGGACCGGGUUGAACAAACCACUGGUGUAGCUGUUGUUCUGCCAAGAGCAUCGCAGCGUAGCUAAGUUUGGAAAGGAUAAACGCUGAAAGCAUCUAAGCGUGAAGCCAACUCUAAGAUGAAUCUUCUCUAAGCUCUCUAGAAGACUACUAGUUUGAUAGGCUGGGUGUGUAAUGGAUGAAAGUCCUUUAGCUGACCAGUACUAAUAGAGCGUUUGGCUUAUCUUUA
RNAcentral lists this ribosomal RNA (2907 nucleotides) under Campylobacter coli. RNAcentral describes it as "bacterial LSU rRNA". It matches the Rfam family "Bacterial large subunit ribosomal RNA". The record is from RNAcentral. Lineage: Bacteria; Pseudomonadati; Campylobacterota; Epsilonproteobacteria; Campylobacterales; Campylobacteraceae.